GACGAACGCUGGCGGCGUGGAUUAGGCAUGCAAGUCGAACGGUAGGAUACCUUCGGGUAUCUGAGAGUGGCGAACGGGUGAGUAACACGUAGGUGAUCUACCCUCAAGAUUGGGACAACCCAGGGAAACUUGGGCUAAUACCGGAUGAAAGCAGCAGUGAUGUUGUUUGAAAGGUGGCGUAAGCUGCCGUUUGGGGAUGAGCCUGCGCUCUAUUAGUUAGUUGGCGGGGUAAAGGCCCACCAAGGCGAUGAUAGAUAGGCGGCCUUAACGGGUGGUCGCCCACACUGGGAUUGAGAUACGGCCCAGACUCCUACGGGAGGCAGCAGUCGAGAAUAGUCUACAAUGGCCGAAAAGGCUGAUAGUGCGACGCCGCGUGAACGAAGAAGCCCUUCGGGGUGUAAAGUUCUUUUAUAUGUGAGCAGUGCUUUCUAUGUGAACAGCAUGGGGAGAGAGAUAUUAGCAUAUGAAUAAGCAACGGCUAACUCCGUG
This 489-nucleotide ribosomal RNA is filed under the name uncultured bacterium. RNAcentral describes it as "bacterial SSU rRNA". It matches the Rfam family "Bacterial small subunit ribosomal RNA", at positions 28 to 507 of the family's 1533-position model. The record is from RNAcentral.